Molecule: long non-coding RNA, 786 nt
Filed under: Gouania willdenowi (blunt-snouted clingfish)
Lineage: Eukaryota; Metazoa; Chordata; Actinopteri; Blenniiformes; Gobiesocidae
Description: lncRNA (ENSGWIG00000020004.1)
Source: RNAcentral
GUUUCAGUUAUAGUUUGUACUGUGUGAGACACAAGGGCUGCAGGAUGAGGCUGUGGAUGCUUCUGGUGUCCCUGCAGCUGCAUAUAGUGACCACACAGGACACAGUGUCAGAGGACAUCGGCGUCCAUCAGCUGGAGCGUUUAGUGGAGUUAUUGACGUCUACAGAGUGUGAGAAGCUCCUCUCAGCUCUUUCUCAGCCUGAGGAGGACAUCUUUAAACGUCUGGAGCGACUCUCAGCAGAGAAGAAUACACUGGAUGUGAAAGUUUACAGAACCAAGAGAGACGUCUCAUCUGCUACUGACAGGAAGAAGAAGCGUUGCCGUGACGACCUGACAAACUGGCUGCUUAAGAACGGAGUAAAGAUCUACUACGACAGGCUUUCCCGAGCCUUGUAUCACAUCGGAAGAACGGACGUCGCCAUUGAAUUGGGGAAAAACAUCAACCAGCAGAAGGCGCUGAACCUGAAACGCUACGUCGAAGAUUACGUCAAAUACGUCGACUCUUUGAAGGCUCCGUCGAUUAAACUAAACAACAACAAGAGUCGAAGGAUCAAGAAAAGAAAAGUCAGGAACCUGGACUGGCGUGAGCUGGAUCUGAUCGUGCAGUGGGUUCCGGCCCCACCGUACGAGAAGGGCCCUCUGGACGGAGCUUUGCUCAUUUUUGUCGGAAUGCUCGUCGGAUUUGGGGGAAUUUUUCUUGCCGGGACAUCGUUAAUACUCAUCAGUGCUUACUUCUAUUGUUGAGGCCAUUCUGCUGGGCGGCCAUGUUUGUUUAUGUGUUUAUAAG